Molecule: long non-coding RNA, 308 nt
Filed under: Phoenix dactylifera (date palm)
Lineage: Eukaryota; Viridiplantae; Streptophyta; Magnoliopsida; Arecales; Arecaceae
Description: long non-coding RNA (PDAC_LNC020214)
Source: RNAcentral
CCCCAAGUCUCACUUGGGAAUUCACUAUAACCCCUUGGAUUACAGCCGGUUGUUUUACAAGCUCACAACCAAACUUGUUGUUUUACGAGCUCACAACGAACUCGGUCGGUUUUCCCAGGCUCACCGACUAGAACCACCCCGAUUGUUUUCGCGGGAUCACAAUCGAACCCUUACACACGUUGGUUUUACACUCGGCUCACCAACCAACCUCAAGACUCUUUAUUCAAUCCUCCGAUUGAAUCAAGCAAAGACAAGUUGUAAAUAAAAGGGACAAACAAAAAACAAAGCUUCUCAAAAGCAAAUAAGGA